Elgaria multicarinata webbii is the source of this 390-nucleotide non-coding RNA. NCBI's taxonomy places the organism in Eukaryota, Metazoa, Chordata, Lepidosauria, Squamata, Anguidae. The record is from the annotation of a RefSeq genome assembly.
AUGUUCUGGCUCCUUCUUGUUUGCUCCUUCGUGAUGUGGUGCACAGGUUCAAAUUCUGAGUCUGUUCUAUCUCAGCCACCAUCAGCCUCAGUGGCGCCGGGGAACACAGCAAAAAUCUCCUGUACCAUGAGCAGUGCAGCCACCAUGAGUGACCGAGAGGUAGCCUGGCACCAGCAGAAGCUGGGUAGUCCCCCACGAUACCUCUUAUGGUAUUAUUCAGAUUCCAGGAAGGAACAAGGCUCAGUGGUCCCCGCUCGUUUCUCUGGAUCCAAAGACAACUCCAGGAACACAGCCUAUUUGACCAUCACUGAAGUCCUGGCAGAAGACGAGGCUGAUUAUUACUGUAUAUCCCAUUAUGGCAGUGGUGGUACAGCUCAGUUUGCACAGUGA